GAUGAACGCUGGCGGCGUGCCUAAUACAUGCAAGUCGAGCGAACGGACGAGAAGCUUGCUUCUCUGAUGUUAGCGGCGGACGGGUGAGUAACACGUGGAUAACCUACCUAUAAGACUGGGAUAACUUCGGGAAGCCGGAGCUAAUACCGGAUAAUAUUUUGAACCGCAUGAUUCAAAAGUGAAAGACGGUCUUGCUGUCACUUAUAGAUGGAUCCGCGCUGCAUUAGCUAGUUGGUAAGGUAACGGCUUACCAAGGCAACGAUGCAUAGCCGACCUGAGAGGGUGAUCGGCCACACUGGAACUGAGACACGGUCCAGACUCCUACGGGAGGCAGCAGUAGGGAAUCUUCCGCAAUGGGCGAAAGCCUGACGGAGCAACGCCGCGUGAGUGAUGAAGGUCUUCGGAUCGUAAAACUCUGUUAUUAGGGAAGAACAUAUGUGUAAGUAACUGUGCACAUCUUGACGGUACCUAAUCAGAAAGCCACGGCUAACUACGUG
This 497-nucleotide ribosomal RNA is filed under the name uncultured bacterium. RNAcentral describes it as "partial 16S ribosomal RNA". It matches the Rfam family "Bacterial small subunit ribosomal RNA", at positions 28 to 507 of the family's 1533-position model. The record is from RNAcentral.